RNAcentral lists this unclassified non-coding RNA (213 nucleotides) under plant metagenome. RNAcentral describes it as "partial contains small subunit ribosomal RNA, internal transcribed spacer 1, and 5.8S ribosomal RNA". The record is from RNAcentral.
UUUCCGUAGGUGAACCUGCGGAAGGAUCAUUCAUAAUAAGUGUUUUAUGGCACUUUUUUAAAUCCAUAUCCACCUUGUGUGCAAUGUCAGGGUUGAUUUUUCUCUCGAGAGGAUCAACCUCAAGCAUCAACUAUAUCUCAACUCUUUGUCUGAAAAAUAUUAUGAAUAAAACAAUUCAAAAUACAACUUUCAACAACGGAUCUCUUGGCUCUC